Anolis carolinensis (green anole) is the source of this 2221-nucleotide long non-coding RNA. Lineage: Eukaryota; Metazoa; Chordata; Lepidosauria; Squamata; Anolidae. The record is from Ensembl.
AACCCAGUCCCAGUCAUAAGGGCUGGAACAGGAUGUGUAGUAUCAGCCAUCUACAUUGAACCUUUACAUAUUUAUGAAAUAUGACUUGUGUUUGAUAUAUCUGUUUUAACAUUUUAUCUUGUAAGAUUGUCCUUUUCGAUUGUUUUACCGAUAUUGUUGAUUUAUUGUUGUAAAUUUGUGUUUUUGUUUUGAUUUUAUAUUGUGAUGUUGGGCAAGGCCCCAUGUGAGCCGCCCCGAGUCCCUUUGGGGAGAUGGGGCGGGGUACAAGAAUAAAAUUAUUAUUAUAAAUUAUUAAAAUGCCCAAACAUAACUUAGCUAUAACUAAUAGGCUUGAGCGAUCCAUGAAAAAAUUGAUUCUAAACUCGUUUCAAAAGUAGGGGGCGCCAGCGUUUCGUUUCUGAUGUCAUUUCCGAAUUUUGCCCCCCAAAAAAUUUGAAAUUAAUGAAAAUUCGUUAUUUUCUAAAUUAAUUCGUUAAUGGCGGACGCGCAUGCGCAGUGGCCAAAAAAAAACAGCACAAGGGGAGAUUUUACAGGACUCUCCCGCCCUCAUUUUUUGAGUGAUCUUCUUCAAACUUGGUACAGUGGUAGAACACAUUUAACACUGAUAGCUCACCAAAAUUUGGAACGUUUCCCUUAUCCUCUGAUUUUUGGCGAAUCGAUCAAGCCUACUAAAUAGGCAUCUGUCAGGAAUACUUUCAUUGUGUUUUUCCUGCAUGGCAGGGUUUGUACUAGAUGGCCGACGUGGUCUCUUCCAACAAUUAUUCUAAGAUUCUAUGAAAGAGAUCUGGGAUUCUUAAAUAGACCAUAAGCUGAAAAAUACCAUGCAGAAGUGAACAAAAAGCCAGUGCUAUUCUAGGCUGCAUCAAGGCAGGUAUAGUGACGAUAUUGAGGGAAGCCAUAAUCCCAUUGUAGUCUCCUUUUGUCAGACCUCGCCUAGAAUACUGUAUCUGCAAUUCAAGGAAGAUAUUGACAAGCUGAAAGAGAAAAAGCAAUAUAUUAUUAUAAUUAUUACAACAAAAACAACUUUAUUUUUGUACCCUGCCUCCAUCUCCCCGCCAAGACUCGGGGUGGCUAACAUGGGGCCAAGCCCAAAUAACCACAAUAAAGCAGGAUAAAAUACACACAGAACAAAACAAGCAUCAUCAACAAGAAAAUUUAAACAGACUAAAACACCAUUUUGAGCAAUAAUGUAGUAAUUUCCGUCAUAUAAAAGGAAAACAGCAAAUUAAAAUAGUAAGAGAACUGGGCAAUGGUGCUACCAAAAGAAUCAAAAGUCUGAAAGCCAAGCCAUCAGUAGAAAUAGCAUAGUGUGUUGGCUAUGUUUAGGUUGAAGAAAACAAGGCUGAGAGAGGAAGACAAAAGAGCCAGGGUUAAAUAAAAAGCAGACCAAGAUAGAUAAUAACUUCUGGUAGAGGCAAAAUGGUGGACUCCACGGAACACUGAGUUGCUCUUGGCAAACCAACCUUGCCUGGUGCUUAGAGUGAGUGUUUAGCUCCCCCACACUGACGGAGAGAAGUCUAUGUGGUGCCAAAACCCACAGGGUAGAGGAUUGGUGUCUGCCAUAGUCAACCUCGCAUUAGGGGUCGAAGCGGUGCAGCCAAUCCAUCCCGCCGGAUUGUAAAGGAUGCCCAGCACUGGCAUGGGCUAGAACGCCAGCCUCUAUUUUAAACGAAAAAGAUGACAGAGGGAAGAAGGUAACAGAAUAAAAAAGAGACAUGGAGUGACAGGAGAAGCUCUCUUACCAGGUUAUUACAGGAGAGUAAGGACGACCUGAGGAACCGGCUGGAAAAUGAGUAAAGGAAAUGAAAGGCAUUUUGAUCCUACCUCUUGCUAAGUUGCUGGCGACACGGAGGGAAGGGGAGUGACUUGAAGAAAGCCAAGUAAGCUAAGUAACUAUGGACUAUAUAUAAAAUAUAAAAUAAAUAAAUAUAAGAAUCAUAGAAUCAUAGAAUAGUAGAGUUGGAAGAGACCACAUGGGCUAUCUAGUCCAACCCCCUGCUAAGAAGCAGGAAAUCGCAUUCAAAGCACCCCCGACAGAUGGCCAUCCAGCCUCUGCUUAAAAGCCUCCAAGGAAGGAGCCUCCACCACGGCCCCGGGGAGAGAGUUCCACUGUCGAACAGCUCUCACAGUGAGGAAGUUCUUCCUGAUGUUCAAGUGGAAUCUCCUUUCCUGUAGUUUGAAGCCAUUGUUCCGUGUCCUAGUCUGCAGGGCAGCAGAAAAC